This 118-nucleotide ribosomal RNA is filed under the name Aotus nancymaae (Ma's night monkey). Lineage: Eukaryota; Metazoa; Chordata; Mammalia; Primates; Aotidae. The record is from RNAcentral.
GUCUACGGCCAUACCAUUCUGAAUGCGUCCGACUCAUCUGAUCUUGGAAGCUAAGCAGGGUCGGGCCUGGUUAGUACUUGGAUGGGAGACCGCGUGGGAAUACUGGGUGCUGUAGGCU